GCCUCGCUAGUGCAGUGGUUAGCACGCGUCCCGGUAGAGAGUGAAACGUGGGUUUCAACUCCAGCUUGAGGCU
Parelaphostrongylus tenuis is the source of this 73-nucleotide non-coding RNA. The record is from the annotation of a GenBank genome assembly. NCBI's taxonomy places the organism in Eukaryota, Metazoa, Nematoda, Chromadorea, Rhabditida, Metastrongylidae.